CGUCAAGUCCUCAUGGCCCUUAUGCCUAGGGCUGCACACGUCCUACAAUGCCACACACAAAGGGAAGCAAAACCGCGAGGUCCAGCAAAUCCCAAAAAAUGUGGCCCAGUUCGGAUUGGAGUCUGCAAUUCGACUCCAUGAAGUCGGAAUCGCUAGUAAUCGCGGGUCAGCAUACCGCGGUGAAUGUGUUCCUGAGCCUU
RNAcentral lists this ribosomal RNA (200 nucleotides) under uncultured prokaryote. RNAcentral's name for it is "partial 16S ribosomal RNA". It matches the Rfam family "Bacterial small subunit ribosomal RNA", at positions 1183 to 1382 of the family's 1533-position model. The record is from RNAcentral.